AAAUUGAAGAGUUUGAUCAUGGCUCAGAUUGAACGCUGGCGGCAGGCCUAACACAUGCAAGUCGAACGGUAGCACAGAGGAGCUUGCUCCUUGGGUGACGAGUGGCGGACGGGUGAGUAAUGUCUGGGAAACUGCCCGAUGGAGGGGGAUAACUACUGGAAACGGUAGCUAAUACCGCAUAACGUCGCAAGACCAAAGAGGGGGACCUUCGGGCCUCUUGCCAUCGGAUGUGCCCAGAUGGGAUUAGCUAGUAGGUGGGGUAACGGCUCACCUAGGCGACGAUCCCUAGCUGGUCUGAGAGGAUGACCAGCCACACUGGAACUGAGACACGGUCCAGACUCCUACGGGAGGCAGCAGUGGGGAAUAUUGCACAAUGGGCGCAAGCCUGAUGCAGCCAUGCCGCGUGUAUGAAGAAGGCCUUCGGGUUGUAAAGUACUUUCAGCGAGGAGGAAGGCGUUGUGGUUAAUAACCGCA
This 474-nucleotide ribosomal RNA is filed under the name Citrobacter freundii. RNAcentral describes it as "bacterial SSU rRNA". It matches the Rfam family "Bacterial small subunit ribosomal RNA", at positions 1 to 471 of the family's 1533-position model. The record is from RNAcentral. Lineage: Bacteria; Pseudomonadati; Pseudomonadota; Gammaproteobacteria; Enterobacterales; Enterobacteriaceae. RNAcentral also lists the same sequence under 1 other name.